CCACGGACAUCUUAAAACCAAGAUAAGAUAAAUCCGUUCAGCCGCUCUCGAGUUUUAGCGAGACUAACGAACGAUUUUUAUAUAUAAGAUAAGCGAAGGAACCGGGUCUCUUCACUCAGAACUGUCAUCUUUUAGAAAGCGUGAAUAGAAGCGACAAAAUUGAAAUUUUGUCACACUUGUUGAUUGUUAUUAAAAAUUUUGAAUUUUCAAUCAAAUGUUGCUAUUUGAUCAAUGAAAUGGCUAAUUAGUAUAGAAAAUCUGAAAUCGGAAUCUGAGAAUGUGGUUUUUUUUGUGAAUGCCACUUAAAAAUCUAAUUGAAGAGAACGAUUUGAACGAAUACCAUUGAAUUGCCAAUAUCUCGAAAACCAUCAACUUUUUACUAAGAUGAUUUAAUGUUUUUCUGGAUCCUUAGAUCAUCUGUCUUACCCGAAAUGAUUGCAGUAAUAACUUCCUUCGGACAAUUAUGCAAGGUAUUCCACAGAAAAAGCAUUUCAUAAACAAAGAACUUCCAAUACUGCACGUCGAACAUGUUUCGGUCACUAUCCGAGGAUGGUAACUUAUCGAUUCGCCUCAAGAUGAAUUUGUUAAUUUGGGUUUCCUGUAUUGAAGACAGUCAUUUAGAUACUUGCA
Long non-coding RNA from Hermetia illucens (black soldier fly), 630 nucleotides. RefSeq lists it as uncharacterized. NCBI's taxonomy places the organism in Eukaryota, Metazoa, Arthropoda, Insecta, Diptera, Stratiomyidae. The record is from RefSeq and is a predicted model, not a curated record. The transcript is spliced from 2 exons.